Psammomys obesus (fat sand rat) is the source of this 100-nucleotide small nucleolar RNA. RefSeq annotates it as small nucleolar RNA SNORA5. The record is from RefSeq and is a predicted model, not a curated record. The transcript has a single exon. Lineage: Eukaryota; Metazoa; Chordata; Mammalia; Rodentia; Muridae.
UUUGGGGGAACAAUGGAGUUCCUGUCCUGGAGAGGACAGGAACCCCACUAGAAGACCAACAGAGACAACUCCAUGGGGGCUAACAAAGACUGAGACAUCA